RNAcentral lists this ribosomal RNA (255 nucleotides) under uncultured bacterium. RNAcentral describes it as "partial 16S ribosomal RNA". It matches the Rfam family "Bacterial small subunit ribosomal RNA", at positions 524 to 779 of the family's 1533-position model. The record is from RNAcentral.
UACAGAGGGGCAAGCGUUGUUCGGAAUUACUGGGCGUAAAGGGCGCGUAGGCGGCCUUCUAAGUCGAACGUGAAAUCCCCGGGCUCAACCCGGGAACUGCGUCCGAUACUGGAAGGCUUGAAUCCGGGAGAGGGAUGCGGAAUUCCAGGUGUAGCGGUGAAAUGCGUAGAUAUCUGGAGGAACACCGGUGGCGAAGGCGGCAUCCUAGACCGGUAUUGACGCUGAGGCGCGAAAGCCAGGGGAGCAAAGCGGGAU